UGUUUGUCCUCUCUGCACUUUAGUUUGGGGCCUUAAAACAUGUCCUACUGUGUGGAAGCUCGAAAGGGAAGUUCAGAUGUGGUACUUAUAAAUCACUGUUUCGCGGUGUGCUGCUGGGAUUAGCCGUGAAAUGCUUGUCAUCUGAGAGCAGUUUGGACUCGACAACUUCAUGGUCGUCGCACAAGCAUAGUCGCUCACGUUGAACUAAACCAAAUAUGCCAGUGAACCUCAGCUUCCCAUGCAGCAACUGACACAGGAGACCUUUUGAUCCUCAAGUCCUCUUCAAUCUGUUCCUGCCAACCAUCAUCUUCCAUGGAGCUCACACCUUUAAUCAGUGCUUGGCCUGUUGUCAGAGCUGCGUUUGGACCUGGAUCGUCACACCCUGCUGUUCGGCAAGAGCAUUCUGAAUGAAGGCGGUUGCCAUCGUCCUGACACAGGUGUGUGACAGGGGGUGUACCUGGCUGUGGCAGAUGACAACGCACACCUGGUUCCCAUUACUCAUCAACCUCCAUAUAAAAGCCUGGUCAUCAUUCCAUCACUCUGCCAGAUAAUUCCGUGUUCUAGUUCAACAGUGCCACAUCUCUGAUGCAAGUUUUUGCACGUCUACUUGAUAUAUUGUAAUUGUUGCCUUUUUGAGGGGUUUUUCUAGGCCACCCUGUCACACCCUUUGACUUUUGUUUUCUUGGUGUCUUGUCUUCUGCAAACCAGCCAGCCCUCCCUGCGACGUCUGCCUGCCUUUAGUCUUUUGGCCAAUUAACUCUAGCAACUCGUUUUUUGUUUGUUUGUGUCUCUGCUUUGGGGCGUCCAAACUGCAAAACCUGACAGUUUCCUUGCUUUUGCAAACUCACUCUUUUAAAACAAGUCUAACGUCGAGGUCGGUCAGACUACACACGUUUUAAACACGAUUAUAGCCCAACCAAACAGACCCAUCGGCCCGGAAAAUCAAUCAUUUUAUACCAUACAAUGUGUCAUAGUGAAUGACAAUCAAGGACAGAUCUGGGACACCUCACAACCUCCCGACAGAAAGUCUAGUCUUUCUGCGAUGUGCCAUCACGUCAGUGGCGUUGACCAAUGAGAGCACAGCGUGUUGUGCAUGUGCAAAAGUAUCGAGCAUAAGCAAACAAAAUGGAUACAAUAACCCUUAAGUUCUCUUUAAGGCACUGUUCUCUUCUCACAACACUUUGGACGCCAUUUCUUUUGUUUACACUGUUUUUUAUCGUCUAGCCUUGCCUCAUGGUCCAGCCCCUCUUAUGAUUGGUCGGGUCGGGCACUACCCUGUAGUCUGUCUGUUUUCGUACGGCAGGAAUUAAUGGCUCUGUGAUCACCUCAUGUGACAUAGUGACCACCAUAACAGACAGAAAGAUUGUGCGGUCUGACCUUGGCAUAAUGGGAGUGCUUGUAUUGGUCUGUGGUGGAAUAAUCCAGCUACUCCAUCCGCCACUCGCAUGCAUGCCUGUUUCUGCUUGCUUCACCUCAGGCCCUUUCUUUUUCCUCCCUUCCUAUCUCUCUCUCUCUCUCCUUCCUGUGAGACCUCUUUUGCACUCAAUGACUUCCA
Molecule: long non-coding RNA, 1555 nt
Organism: Solea solea (common sole)
Lineage: Eukaryota; Metazoa; Chordata; Actinopteri; Pleuronectiformes; Soleidae
Exons: 5
Source: RefSeq, a predicted model, not a curated record